UGCAGCUUCACCUACUACAGUGAGUAGCUGCUGGAGGCAGCAUGUGAGACAGUAGCAGAGGCUGCCUGCAGGGACGGGGCAGCAAAGCAGAAGGGAGACUCCAACGCAGUUCACUGAAGGAGCCUAAAAGGGAGCCCCAGGAGAAGGGGACAUCAUCUGUGUGCUAGGAACUGCAACGGUGAUUGCACAGAAGUCACCAAGGAAGACCAGUUCCCUGGCUCCCCAGAGAAGGACUUUGAGCAUGGGCCAGGCCCCGGGCACAUCAAAGCAGAAGAUACAUUCUAGGCAUGGUUGACUUCGCCCAUUUCUCACACAGGCCUGGCGCUAGACACAAGUUCCAAGAUGCAGUCCAUCACUGCAGGGAAGACAAGGUAGCGGGUGUCUGGAGCAACUGGUCACAUCAGGAAGCAAAGAAAGACCGGUGCAUCUUAGUACUCAGCUCCCUUUCUCCAUUUUAUACAGCACAGGAUCUUCUGCCCAGGUAAAAUUGCACCCACCUCCUCCUUGCUGAAGUCUUUACCCACUCCCAGAGUGACUCACAAUCUUCCUGCAGCAAUGCCACUCACGUGUGCCAUUAUGUGCACAUAUCUGGGAACACACAGCAGCUGCUACUGCCCUGGAACCGAAAGAGGAACUGAGAAGUCCUGGCCAGGCUCCUGACCACCGCUUCCUCACAGAACACACCUCACCAACCACCUGGCUGACCCACUUCUGUAAUUUGAUUCACCAUUUCUGAGUCUGCCUUCAGCCCAGGAGGUUGUACCUCAGGCUCACCAGCUGUGGAGUGGGGGAGGGAGGGGCCGGUUGCCACCGUGGAGCAGUUGCUGAGGGAACAACACAGCCAGAAUGAGUGCCAGCCCUGGCCUGCUGUCAAAACCAGUGAGAAGCAGGAGGCAAAAGUAGCGCUCACGUGGCAAGGGCCUGGAAGUGCUGGAGAGAGGUUUGGCAUCCUAAUCCCAGGGAUUCUAUGGAGGACUCUCCAUGGAAAAGACCUUGCCUGGGGGGAGGAUCCAAGCUUCUGUCUUCGGUGGAAGCCAAUAGGGGUGACUGUUUCCAAAAGCCUUGGCCUGUGGGCAGUGGGGAGGAGACAGUUAAACUCCCAGGUCUGGACAUUGUGGCCACAACCAGGCCAAACCCACAAACAGAGAGAGGGUCCCUCUUCCACAGUGCCCGGUCCAGUGAGCUGAGGGGACAGGAAUUCAAAUUCCAAGCUUCUGCCAUGUCUAGGUGGCAAACAGAGCUGCAUAAAUCCAGAAAAAUGGGUGGCGGUGGUCUUUUGUGGGUCACAUACAGGCCCCAGUUCCUCUGGGCUGGAAAAUGAAUAUACAUUGCAGUAGAAAUGUCACCUUUGAUGUUUUUACAGUACGGGGGGGAGGGGGUGUCUUUUUUGUGUGCCAAGAACUUGACACCAUUCCCAUCCAUCCCACAUCACCUUGUGGUGGUACCAUUUUGUUUUCCUCCUCCUCUUCUCCCUCCUCCUCCUCCUUGGUUUUUUUCUUUGUAGCCCUGACUGCCUUGGAACUCACUCUGUAGACCAGACUGGCCUUGAACCCAGAGAUGCCUGCCUCUGCCUCAUGAGUGCUGGGAUUAAAGGCGUGUGCCACCAUGCUCUGCUCAAGUGAUACUGUUUUCAAUUGUCACAGAACAUCCUUGUUCCCAGGGCAAGUACCACCUAAUGAUGGUGAGAUACCUCUUUUCUCUCUGUGAAGGCUUCUUUUGCAGGGCAGAGGAAGGAAAUCGGUCUGGAGAAGCCAGGACAGUGAGAAGCCAGGAGAAAGUGGGGAAAUUACUAAGCACUUCUGUCUGGCUGGAGUAUGGGGAAGGCAGGGAAGGCCAGGAAGCCCUGAGGCUUACGGAACUUUGCAGGAGAGCUGGGGCCCAGGGCUGCCCAGGGCUGCCUGUUUCACUGGAAAAGCAGGGGACGUUGGCCUUGGCUGCACUGACACAUUCCUCUCCACACUGCAUCAGCAGUCUGGAAGAGAGGGUGAACAGGAAGUGGGGCAGGCUCUAGGACCUCAAAGCCCGCCCCCCCAUGAUCCACUUCCUCCAGCAAGGCUGUGCCUCCCACUCUGGCCAUAGCAGGGAGUUUUGAAUGGAUCUUGAAAGAGCAGCUUUUUGCUGGAAUUUGGAAAAGCGGUGACAAGAACCUCAGAAAUGAGACUGCUGAUGCAGUGUGAUAAGUGAACCUCGUGCCGCUGCCACCAGGGUGGACUGUAGACCCUCUGGAACUAUCUUGCAUGGAUUAGAUGGAGUCCAUUGAAUUGGAUAAAGGUGGCUGCUCCUAGCUUGGUACCUAGAUUAAAAUGGCAAUGUUUCAUGUCUAUGAAUGAAAAACACUCAUAAGCAUGCCCAGAAAUAAUACUUUCCAAGCAUUAAUAUAUCCCUUAGUUUUUCAAGCUGACACCUGUAAUUAAAUAUCACAUCCAUCAUGCUCAGUUAGCACCUUCACCCAGCAAUCGAGUGUGAAAAAAGGCUUCACUCUGGCCUCCAAAUAUCUCAUCUAUUCUUACCAGGAGUCCUUGGAUCUCAAUGCUGUUACAGUGUGUUCUGGUUGUUUGUUUGUUUGUUUUUUUCAACUUGACACAAAACUAGACAUAUCUAGGAAAAAAAAAAUCUUAAUUGAGGAAUUUCCUCCAUCAGAUUGGUCUAUAGGCAAGUGUCUUGGGGAAGGGGUUCUUAGUUAAUGAUUGAUGUGGGAGGAUCCAUCUCACUGUAGACAGUGCUACCCGUGGGCAAAUGAUCCCAUGUACUCUAAGAAAGCAGGCUGAGCAAAGAGUGGAGAACAAAUCACUAAGCAGCAUUCUUCCAUGGCUUCUGCUUCUGUUCCUGCUUUCAGGUUCCUGCCUUGA
This is a non-coding RNA of Peromyscus maniculatus bairdii (prairie deer mouse), 2849 nucleotides long. The record is from RefSeq and is a predicted model, not a curated record. Lineage: Eukaryota; Metazoa; Chordata; Mammalia; Rodentia; Cricetidae.